Long non-coding RNA from Juglans regia (Persian walnut), 2567 nucleotides. RefSeq lists it as uncharacterized. NCBI's taxonomy places the organism in Eukaryota, Viridiplantae, Streptophyta, Magnoliopsida, Fagales, Juglandaceae. The transcript is spliced from 6 exons. The record is from RefSeq and is a predicted model, not a curated record.
UCCCUUGUUUUGCAAGAAGAACGUCAACGUGAAGUUACCUCGCUCAAUGCUCCUGCUGUGGAGCCUACUGCUCUACUCAACCACAACAAUCAACCUACUACUCGCUCUAAGUCUAAAAAAGGUGCUUCACAUUCAACCUCUAAACACGAGCGCCCUUUCUGCAAUCAUUGUCAUAUUCAUGGCCACACGACUGAUCGUUGUUACAAACUUCAUGGCUAUCCUCCUGGACAUCGACUUCAUCAACCAUCUUCAGUUAAUCAAGUUUUAGGUACUGAUGUUACUACUACCACACCUCAACUUCAUUUCACCAAAGAGCAAUGCGAACAACUUCUUGAUCUUCUCAAUACCUCCUCUCCACAGCCUAUGGUUAAUCACGCUGUUACAGGUAGUUCAGAGCCUUCUUCUUCACAGCCUUCCACCAAUCUCUCAGGACCAACUGUCAUGGAGGACAAUUGGUUUGGCUAAGCGGCUUCAUGGCCUUUAUCAUUUGCUACCACCCUUUUCAUCUCGCACAUACUCUGCUUCUGUUUCUGCUUCUUCAACAACUUUAUGGCAUAGACGUUUAGGAAACCUUUCUUUUUCUCGUUUAUCAUCUUUGAAUAAUGAUGUACUCAAUAUUUCUAUUUCAAAACAUGAGCAUUGUAAUGUUUGCCCCUUAGCAAAACAACAACGUCUUUCUAUUCCUAUCAGCAAAAUUUCUUUUACUUUCUCAUUUGAACUAUUGCAUUGUGACACAUGGGAACCAAUGCCCCUUGCUUUUCACAAUGGUUCCAAAUAUUUUUUAACUAUAGUUUAUGACUUCACACGUUGUACAUGAGUCUAUCUCAUGAGUCACAAAUCACAUACUCGUUCUUUAUUAUCUUUUUUCAUUAAACUCAUUGAAACCCAAUUCUCUUCCAAAGUUAAAAUUAUCCCUAGUGGCAAUGGCUUGGAAUUUGAUAUACAAUCUUUCUUUGCUGACAAUGGUAUCAUUCAUCAACGUAGUUGCAUUGCUACACCACAACAAAAUAGUGUAGUUGAAUGCAAACAUCAACAUCUCCUAAAUGUUGCUUGUGCACUUCGGUUUCAUUCUCACUUACCCAUGCAAUUCUAAGAUGAUUGUAUCCUUAUAGCUACUUACCUUAUCAAUCGUGUUCCCACACCUCUACUCUCUGGUCGUUCACCAUUUGAAGUUAUUUUUAACUAUAAGCCAAUCAUUUUCGAGUCUUUGGUUGCCUCUAUUAUGCCUCUACCAUUGCUCAUAACAGGUCCAAGUUUGACCCACAUGCCCAAGCUUGUGUCUUCCUUGGAUAUCCAUUUGCUACUAAGGGCUACAGGGUUCUUGAUUUACAAACCAGGCAAACAUUUAUAUUAAGAGAUGUUAUUUUUCACGAAUGUACGUUUCCCUUUGCAGCUGCAAUUUCUACUACAAGUCUACCAGAAUACAAGAGUCCACCUGUCUUGCCAAAUCCAAUUGUUUCCAUUGAUAUGCCUACCCCUCAGCCUUCUUUAUCUAUCUCACUUCCCACUAACUAAUCCAUCUCACGUCAUUCCACUCGUGCCUGUCAUCCACCAGGAUAUUUACAAGACUACCACUAUCAAUUGGCUAUGAUGUCACGCCAAACCAACUCUUCCAUCCAGUAGGGUUCCACAAAGUCAGACUUUCCAUGAGGUUGUGAAACACCAACACUGGCGAGAUGCCAUGGCUGCAGAGAUUAAGGCAUUGGAAGACAAUCAUACAUGGACUCUCAUUCUUUUACCACUUCACAAGCAGGCAUAUGGAUUUGGAGUCUCGUUGUAACCACGGUUUUUCUCCACCACAAGUGAAGGUUAUCAAUAAAAUUGGAGUACCGUCUUCUUCUUAAAAAAAAGGGUCAUCGGUUGCAAGUGGGUAUACCACAUUAAGCAUAAAUCUGAUGGCAGUAUUUAACGCUACAAAGCUCGACUAGUGGCCAAGGGAUACACACAACAAGAGGGGCUCAAUUACCAUGAGACAUUUUCUCUAGUUGUCAAACUUGUAACUGUCAGAUGUUUACUUGCUAUUGCUGCUGCACAUAAUUGCUACCUUUGACAACUCAAUGUUAACAACGCAUUUAUACAUGGGGAUCUUCAUGAAGAAGUAUACAUAACUCUUCCUCCAAGGUUCACUCGACAGGUGGAGCACUCAGUUUGUGUCCACAACAAAUCCUUGUAUGGUCUAAAACAAGCUUCUAGGUAACAAUCUCAGUACUAUUGAUGAGCUAAUAAAUCAUCUAAAUACUCAUUUCAAGCUCAAAGACCUUGGUGAUCUUAAAUUCUUUUUUGGCCUUGAGGAUGCACAAUCAAAACAAGGAUCAAGUGUUAGGGAACGUGAUCGCAAAGGGGCUUAAAGUAGAACUAUGGGGUCCUUUUUCAAGAAUGUAUUUGUGUUUGUUACGACUCAAUUUUCUGCUUGUAUUAAAACCCUUCGUUUUGACUCUGGGGGGGAAUAUAUGUCCCAUGAGUUUCAGGAUUAUCUCAAAACUCGAGAUUUUCUCUCCCAACAAUCAUGUCCUUACACCCCUUGGUAAUUCUUCAAUCUCUUGGAAAUCAAAUAAACAAAGCACAGU